RNAcentral lists this non-coding RNA (27 nucleotides) under Mus musculus (house mouse). Lineage: Eukaryota; Metazoa; Chordata; Mammalia; Rodentia; Muridae. The record is from RNAcentral.
UAGGUGGUGUUGAACAAAUUAUGUGAG